GAUGAACGCUGGCGGCGUGCUUAAUACAUGCAAGUCGAACGAAGAGCCUUUGUAGCAAUACGAGGGUUUCUUAGUGGCGAACGGGUGCGUAACGCGUUGGUGACCUGCCCUAAAGCGAGGGAUAACAGUCCGAAAGGGCUGCUAAUACCUCAUGUGAUUGUAGGGUUUAGAAGCUUACAAUUAAAGGAGUAAUUCACUUCGAGAGGGACCUGCGUACCAUCAGCUAGUUGGUGAGGUAACGGCCCACCAAGGCGAUGACGGUUAGGGGACCUGAGAGGGUGGCCCCCCACAAUGGAAUGAAACACGGUCCAUACACCUACGGGUGGCUG
Molecule: ribosomal RNA, 329 nt
Filed under: uncultured Chloroflexota bacterium
Lineage: Bacteria; Bacillati; Chloroflexota
Description: bacterial SSU rRNA
Rfam family: Bacterial small subunit ribosomal RNA
Source: RNAcentral